AGAGUUUGAUCAUGGCUCAGGACGAACGCUGGCGGCGCGCCUAACACAUGCAAGUCGAACGAGAGAGAGGGAGCUUGCUUCCUUGAUCGAGUGGCGAACGGGUGAGUAACACGUGAGGAACCUGCCUCAAAGAGGGGACAACAGUUGGAAACGACUGCUAAUACCGCAUAAGCCCACGACCCGGCAUCGGGAAGAGGGAAAAGGAGCAAUCCGCUUUGAGAUGGCCUCGCGUCCGAUUAGCUAGUUGGUGAGGUAACGGCCACCGAAGGCGACGAUCGGUAGCCGGACUGAGAGGUUGAACGGCACAUUCGGGACUGAGACACGGCCAGACUCCUACGGGAGCA
RNAcentral lists this ribosomal RNA (344 nucleotides) under uncultured bacterium. RNAcentral describes it as "bacterial SSU rRNA". It matches the Rfam family "Bacterial small subunit ribosomal RNA", at positions 8 to 349 of the family's 1533-position model. The record is from RNAcentral.